RNAcentral lists this non-coding RNA (29 nucleotides) under Bombyx mori (domestic silkworm). The record is from RNAcentral. Lineage: Eukaryota; Metazoa; Arthropoda; Insecta; Lepidoptera; Bombycidae.
UCAACCUCACCUUCCCUCACAUAGACUGC